GGGGGAAUAGCUCUGUGAUAGAGCGCUGGAUUCCAGUCCCAGCGGUCGGGGGUUCGAUCCCCUCUUCCCUCA
This 72-nucleotide transfer RNA is filed under the name Phytophthora infestans (potato late blight agent). RNAcentral's name for it is "tRNA-Trp". It matches the Rfam family "tRNA". From Rfam's summary of the family: Transfer RNA (tRNA) molecules are approximately 80 nucleotides in length. Their secondary structure includes four short double-helical elements and three loops (D, anti-codon, and T loops). Lineage: Eukaryota; Oomycota; Peronosporomycetes; Peronosporales; Peronosporaceae. RNAcentral also lists the same sequence under 1 other name. The record is from RNAcentral.